AUGGAGGCGCCUCCUUCCCCGCGGCGGCUGGUGGCGGUGGUGCUGGCGGCGGUGGCGCUGCUCGUCUCCUCCCCUUGCAGCGCGCUCCUCUCCGCCAAGGGCGUCAACAUUGAAGUGCAAGCGCUGAUUGGGAUCAAGAACCAGCUCAAGGACCCCCACGGCGUGCUCAAGAACUGGGACCAGUACUCCGUCGACCCCUGCAGCUUCACCAUGAUCACCUGCUCGUCCGACAACUUCGUCACCGGCCUGGAGGCUCCAAGCCAGAAUCUCUCCGGCCUGCUCGCCCCAAGCAUAGGAAACCUGACCAGCCUGGAGACUAUUCUUCUGCAGAACAACAUCAUAAGCGGGCCAAUCCCAGCCGAGAUUGGCAACCUGGCAAGUCUCAAGACACUUGACCUCUCUGGCAACAAUUUCUAUGGUGAAAUCCCACCAUCCGUGGGCCACCUUGAGAGCCUCCAGUACCUGAGGCUCAACAACAAUACACUGUCUGGUCCAUUCCCUACCGCAUCGACUAAUCUGUCGCACCUUGUUUUCCUAGAUUUGUCAUACAAUAACCUAAGUGGCCCGAUACCAGGAUCUUUGGCAAGAACAUACAACAUAGUUGGAAAUCCUCUCAUAUGCGCUGCAAAUACGGAGAAAGAUUGUUACGGGACUGCGCCGAUGCCAAUGACCUACAACCUUUCACAAGGCACUCCGCCAACGAAAGCUAAAAGCCACAAGUUUGCAGUUGCAUUUGGUGCUGUAACUGGUUGCAUGGGCUUCCUCUUUCUUGCUGCCGGAUUCUUGUUCUGGUGGAGACAGCGUCGGAACCGGCAGAUACUUUUCGAUGACGAAGAUCAACACAUGGAUAACGUUAGCCUUGGAAAUGUGAGGAGGUUCCAGUUCAGGGAGCUGCAGGUUGCAACAGAAAAAUUCAGCAGCAAGAACAUACUCGGAAAAGGCGGCUUCGGACACGUUUACAGGGGGCAGCUUCCCGAUGGGACUCUUGUGGCUGUCAAACGACUCAAGGACGGUAAUGCUGCGGGUGGUGAGUCACAGUUCAAGACUGAAGUUGAAAUGAUCAGCUUGGCAGUGCACCGGAACCUCCUUAGGAUUCUUGGCUUCUGUAUGACUGCCACAGAGAGGUUACUAGUCUAUCCAUACAUGUCGAAUGGAAGUGUCGCUUCGCGCCUGAAAGGAAAGCCGCCUUUGGACUGGAUCACUAGGAAGAGGAUAGCCCUUGGAGCAGCAAGAGGUCUACUUUACCUUCAUGAGCAGUGUGACCCGAAGAUCAUCCACAGAGAUGUCAAGGCGGCCAACGUGUUGCUGGAUGAUUGCUGUGAGGCCAUCGUCGGUGAUUUCGGACUUGCAAAGCUCCUUGAUCACCAGGAUUCACACGUCACCACUGCAGUGCGGGGCACCGUUGGGCAUAUCGCGCCUGAGUACCUCUCCACUGGGCAGUCAUCCGAGAAAACAGACGUCUUCGGGUUUGGCAUCCUGCUGCUGGAGCUGAUCACCGGCCAGACAGCACUGGAGUUCGGAAAGGCAUCAAAUCAGAAGGGAGCCAUGCUGGACUGGGUGAAGAAGAUGCACCAGGAGAAGAAACUUGAUGUGCUGGUUGACAAGGGCCUGCGGAGCAGCUACGACCGGAUCGAGCUCGAGGAGAUGGUGCAGGUGGCGCUCCUUUGCACACAGUACCUCCCAGGCCACCGGCCGAGGAUGUCAGAGGUGGUUCGCAUGCUGGAAGGCGACGGGCUCGCCGAACGGUGGCAAGCGUCGCAGCGGGCCGACUCACACAAGUUCACAGUGCCUGAGUUCACCUUCAGCCGCUGCUACUCUGACCUGACGGAUGACUCAUCGUUGCUGGUGCAGGCCGUCGAGCUCUCUGGGCCAAGAUGA
RNAcentral lists this ribosomal RNA (1878 nucleotides) under Triticum aestivum (bread wheat). RNAcentral's name for it is "partial small subunit ribosomal RNA". The record is from RNAcentral. Lineage: Eukaryota; Viridiplantae; Streptophyta; Magnoliopsida; Poales; Poaceae.